UGAGGAAUAUUGGACAAUGGGCGAAAGCCUGAUCCAGCAAUGCCGCGUGAGUGAAGAAGGCCUUCGGGUUGUAAAGCUCUUUUGUCAGGGAAGAAACGGUAGUAGCGAAUAACUAUUACUAAUGACGGUACCUGAAGAAUAAGCACCGGCUAACUACGUGCCAGCAGCCGCGGUAAUACGUAGGGUGCAAGCGUUAAUCGGAAUUACUGGGCGUAAAGCGUGCGCAGGCGGUUGUGUAAGUCAGAUGUGAAAUCCCCGGGCUCAACCUGGGAAUUGCAUUUGAGACUGCACGGCUAGAGUGUGUCAGAGGGGGGUAGAAUUCCACGUGUAGCAGUGAAAUGCGUAGAUAUGUGGAGGAAUACCGAUGGCGAAGGCAGCCCCCUGGGAUAACACUGACGCUCAUGCACGAAAGCGUGGGGAGCAAACAGGAUUAGAUACCCGUGUAGUCCCUGAGCGGGCUGGCAAGGCGCAU
RNAcentral lists this ribosomal RNA (472 nucleotides) under uncultured bacterium. Its description in RNAcentral is "bacterial SSU rRNA". It matches the Rfam family "Bacterial small subunit ribosomal RNA", at positions 355 to 825 of the family's 1533-position model. The record is from RNAcentral.